This 337-nucleotide long non-coding RNA is filed under the name Elaeis guineensis (African oil palm). RNAcentral's name for it is "long non-coding RNA (EGUI_LNC028518)". Lineage: Eukaryota; Viridiplantae; Streptophyta; Magnoliopsida; Arecales; Arecaceae. The record is from RNAcentral.
CAGCUGAAGUGUAGCAGCUCCGUCCCAUUCAUCACUGCUUUCUGUUAAAAAGAAAAGAGCUGCUCCUCUCUGAUCUAAGUCCUCUCUCUAGUCAGAAAUAGCGUCAGUUAAUCUGGAUGGAUCGACAGGCUUUCCAAACCUACUGGUCUCUUCCUCGGACCUAACAUUGCUGCCUGGCCCAUCACCUUGAUAUUCAGCACACUCGGUAAGGUCUUACCAUCCCCCCUUCCAUAUCCAUAUUCUGGGAACCUCGGACGAUAGCUUUACCCCGAUGAAACGGAUCGAACGCCAGCUAAGGCCUUCUACCGCAGCGGACCCACAGGCCAAUGCCAAUCUC